RNAcentral lists this transfer RNA (83 nucleotides) under Caudoviricetes sp. RNAcentral describes it as "tRNA-Ser". It matches the Rfam family "tRNA". Rfam says of the family: Transfer RNA (tRNA) molecules are approximately 80 nucleotides in length. Their secondary structure includes four short double-helical elements and three loops (D, anti-codon, and T loops). Lineage: Duplodnaviria; Heunggongvirae; Uroviricota; Caudoviricetes. The record is from RNAcentral.
GCCGCCGUAAGCAUAGAGGUAAUGCCGUGGUCUUGAAAACCAUUCGCCUUAUGGGCGCGGGGGUUCGAUUCCCUCCGGCGGCG